This 1988-nucleotide long non-coding RNA is filed under the name Paramuricea clavata. Lineage: Eukaryota; Metazoa; Cnidaria; Anthozoa; Malacalcyonacea; Plexauridae. The record is from RNAcentral.
UGGGUGAUCAAGAUGUUGAUAGUGAUUCUGAUUCACAGAGGUCUGACUUUUAACUCCAACACCCAUUAAUGCAUUAAGAUGGAAAUUGAGUCAGCAUAGCUGCCUUGGUACCCCCAAAAGAUGCUAUAGAAGAAAGAAUUGCCGACCAAACCUCUGCAUACAGUGAUACACUGAUACAGACUUGUUGACAUUCAACAGCUGUCAUCUGCUGUCUUUGAUAUUCAUAAAUGUCGAAAAGGUAGGCUUCAUGAUUUUGUUUCUAACUUGUAAAACACUUUUGGUAAAAUUUGAAACAAUCUCUUAGUUGUAGAAUGCAGUUUUACUACAAAUUUCUGCUUGCCCAGUGGACCAAUAAAUACCACUACAUACUGUCAUCAUGUCAUGUGUGUGUACUGCCCAAAUAUUAUGCUAUUAUAUCUCACUAGAAAUUUUUCAAAACUUUCACAUAGGAAACCUGUUACUUGAAGAAGGAAGGAAACAGGGGUUUAUGUCAAGCCUGAACAUGGAAUGUGUUUCGUGUAAAAAUGUUGAGGUCUUAGAUACAUCUGAUAGUGUAAAUCGACGGAAUCCGUAUCUUUAAACUGGGAAUCGAAACCCCCCCGAAUCUUUAAACUGGGAAUCAAAACCCCACCACCACCCCCCCGAAUCUUUAAGCCUGUAUCAAACACGGACAUGGGUAAUAAAUACCAAAUAUUGAACAUUUAUUAGAGCCGCCCCAAUCGCAAGACCUUUAUUUUCAAGACGCCCCCACCUUCAUCUAGAAAACUUAGGACCCCCUCCAACAUUUAAUUCAUUACAUUUUUUUGUGUAAAAUAAGUAAUGGGACAAGUACUGGGGACCAGUAUUCCUGAAAUGGUUGUUAUUUACUCCGACUCCUAUGGUGUCAUAUACGAAAUAAACUAUGAAAACUACUAGAUUAUAGGAACUAAAAAAGGUUUAAAUAUUUUGAAAAUUUAAACAAUUAAAAUUAUGAAUUAAAAAAUUGGGGUCGUUCCUUGUCACAUAUUAGAGACCUUACGAUUUUAGGACGGCGACGGCCAAAACAAACUCCUUCAAAUAAAUGAUAGUAAAGUUAGUUCGUCGUAUAUUAUCAAUCGUAUGAAUUUAAUACAGUCUUAGAAGUUGAAGACAUGGGUUUUAUGGUUGGGAAGAGUUCUGCUAAACCCAGUUCGGCAUCACAGUUAACUGCAAAGAGCCUAUUUAAAAAUGUUUUUCUAAACUCUUCAUGUUCUUAAUUGAUAUGGACGCUUUAAUAUUAAUUACAGUAAUUACGUUCACAUUUACAGAAAGAGUAUUAAUUUGUGCAUUUGAAACAAACACGAAAACGUCAGGAAUGAGGCAAGCAAAUAAAAUGCCUUGGAUGUUAUUAUUUGGUCAUUUAAAAAAACUGGUUUACAUGUGUGUGUGGCAAGUCUACACAAUGUGUGCUUAUCUCAAAACACACGCGUUUCGAUCAAGUCUAAGUACUCUUUUCAAUGCGCUUUUGAAGAAAAAAACAAGACUUAACUAGGUCCUUUCUUAUGGCUUGUAGGUGUGAUUUCCACAAGGAUAAUUUACUGUUCAUCACACGAGUGGUAACAAUUUAAUAAUGUUUUCGGGUGAUUUUAUCUUUUACUAAAUAUCGUCGGUCGCGUCAAAACAGAAACAACAGAUGGUUAACAUAAGGUUCGUCGACUUGAGUCUUGCCCCCUGGCUUAGGUUCGGCUAUAGGGGGUCAUUUUUCUGCCAUAUUGCAAAUCAGUGACUUACUUAUCGUAAAUGUCCAGUAUGACGGACAAUGACUGGUAUUUAAGACUUUAAGUACGUUACGUAACACGCGCUCGCCGCUCAAAACUCAUGAAUAUACUUUUCCACUUGACAAUAUUAAAUUUUUUAGAUUUUUGAACGUUUCUCAAGUGGCAAAGUGGCAAACAGACUUAAAAAGUAUGUUUAGUGCUUUAUCUGUAAAUUAAUCCUAAAACGAAGAGAUUUUAGAUGGUAUGCCAAAG